This 393-nucleotide ribosomal RNA is filed under the name uncultured bacterium. RNAcentral's name for it is "partial 16S ribosomal RNA". It matches the Rfam family "Bacterial small subunit ribosomal RNA", at positions 523 to 918 of the family's 1533-position model. The record is from RNAcentral.
AUACGGAGGAUCCUAGUGUUAUCCGGAUUUAUUGGGUUUAAAGGGAGCGUAGGCGGGAGGUCAAGUCAGCUGUGAAAUGUAUCUGCUUAACGGGUACACUGCAGUUGAAACUGGUUUUCUUGAGUGCGUAAGAGGCAGGCGGAAUUCGUUGUGUAGCGGUGAAAUGCUUAGAUAUGACGAGGAACUCCUAUUGCGAAGGCAGCUGGCUGGGUCGUUACUGACGCUGAUGCUCGAAGGUGCGGGGAUCAAACAGGAUUAGAUACCCUGGUAGUCCGCACAGUAAACUAUGGAUACUCUCUGCCGGCGAUAUAUUGUCGGUGGCCAAGCGAAAGCGUUAAGUAUCCCACCUGGGGAGUACGGUCGCAAGAAUGAAACUCAAAUGAAUUGACGGGG